CAAAGUAUAGCUUAAACCAAAGCAUCUUGCUUACACCAAGAAAAUGCUAGUUAAAACCUAGUUUCUUUGA
RNAcentral lists this transfer RNA (70 nucleotides) under Siren lacertina (greater siren). Its description in RNAcentral is "tRNA-Val". It matches the Rfam family "tRNA". Rfam says of the family: Transfer RNA (tRNA) molecules are approximately 80 nucleotides in length. Their secondary structure includes four short double-helical elements and three loops (D, anti-codon, and T loops). The record is from RNAcentral. Lineage: Eukaryota; Metazoa; Chordata; Amphibia; Caudata; Sirenidae.